GAUGAAGAACGUAGUGAAGUGCGAUAAGUAAUGUGAAUUGCAGAAUUCCGUGAAUCAUCGAAUCUUUGAACGCAAAUUGCACUUUCUGGUAUUCCGGAGAGUAUGCCUGUUUGAGGGUCAGUGUAAUAAAAAUAAAUCGUGGUUGUUUGCCACCUUUUCGUGGUGACGCUUCGGAAUUGAGUCGUCUUACCUUCGGUUAAGUGACUUAAAAUUUUUUCAUACGAGAUUUCGAAACGUAUUUAAUGUAUUAUGUACGUUCACGAAUAUCGAAUGUUUAUUAGGUGCGGUCAUUUUUCAUGAAUUCGCGUCUAUAAUUUUUUUUUUUUUUGACCUCAAAUCAGGUAAGAAUACCCGCUGAACUUAAGCAUAUCAAUAAGCGGAGGA
RNAcentral lists this unclassified non-coding RNA (384 nucleotides) under soil metagenome. RNAcentral's name for it is "partial contains 5.8S ribosomal RNA, internal transcribed spacer 2, and large subunit ribosomal RNA". The stretch from base 1 to 120 matches the Rfam family "5.8S ribosomal RNA", at positions 35 to 154 of the family's 154-position model. The record is from RNAcentral.